UAUUUGAGUAGUAUUAGUUAUGUUCUUGAAACUUAAAAAAUUUGGCGGUAUUUUAGUCUAUUCAGAGGAACCUGUCCUAUAAUCGAUAAUCCACGAUGGACCUUACUUAAGUUUGUAAUCAGUUUAUAUACCGUCGUUAUCAGAAUAUUUUAUAAGAAUAAUAAUUUUCUAUAAAUUUAAUUAAAUUUUAUAUCAGAUCAAGGUGUAGCUUAUAUUUAAGUAGAGAUGGGUUACAAUAAAAAUAUUUAUAUGGAUAUAAAAAUGAAAUAUUUAUUGAAAGUGGAUUUGAUAGUAAAAUUAUAAAGAUUAAUAAUUUGAUUUUAGCUCUAAAAUAUGCACACAUCGCCCGUCGCUCUUAUUAUUAAGAUAAGAUAAGUCGUAACAUAGUAGAUGUACUGGAAAGUGUCUCUAGAAUGACAGUUUAAAGCUUAUUUAGUAAAGUAUUUCAUUUACAUUGAAAGGAUUUUUGUGCAAAUCAAUAUAAAUUGAGUAAUAUUUAUUUAUUAAUUUUUUUUUUAAUAGUUUAAAUUAUUAAAAAUAAUUAUAAAUUUAAUUGUUUUAGUAUUUUAUAAAGAAUAAAUAAAUUUAAUAAUAGUUAAUUAGUAUUGUGAAAGAAUAUUGAAAUAAAUUGAAAAA
RNAcentral lists this ribosomal RNA (636 nucleotides) under Colobaea bifasciella. RNAcentral's name for it is "partial 12S ribosomal RNA". The stretch from base 418 to 489 matches the Rfam family "tRNA". The record is from RNAcentral. Lineage: Eukaryota; Metazoa; Arthropoda; Insecta; Diptera; Sciomyzidae.